CGGAGAGCCGCGGGACUGAGUGGCGGACGGGUGAGUAACGCGUGGGCAACCUGCCCCGUACAGGGGGAUAACAGCCGGAAACGGCUGCUAAUACCGCAUAAGCGCACAGCGCCGCAUGGCGCGGUGUGAAAAGCUCCGGCGGUACGGGAGGGGCCCGCGUCUGAUUAGGCAGUUGGCGGGGCAGCGGCCCACCAAACCGACGAUCAGUAGCCGGCCUGAGAGGGCGGCCGGCCACAUUGGGACUGAGACACGGCCCAAACUCCUGCGGGAGGCAGCAGUGGGGAAUUUUCGUCAAUGGGCGCAAGCCUGAACGAGCAAUGCCGCGUGAACGAGGAAGGUCUUCGGAUCGUAAAGUUCUGUUGAAGGGGAAAAAGAGCGGAGAGAGGAAAUGGUCUCCGAUUGAUAUUACCCUUCGAGGAAGUCACGGCUAACUACGUGCCAGCAGCCGCGGUAAUACGUAGGUGGCGAGCGUUAUCCGGAAUGAUUGGGCGUAAAGGGUGCGUAGGCGGCCUGCUAAGUCUGGAGUGAAAGGUACCGGCUCAACCGGUACAGGCUUUGGAAACUGGCGGGCUAGAGAGCAGGAGAGGGCGGUGGAACUCCAUGUGUAGCGGUAAAAUGCGUAGAUAUAUGGAAGAACACCAGUGGCGAAGGCGGCCGCCUGGCCUGUUACUGACGCUGAGGCACGAAAGCGUGGGGAGCAAAUAGGAUUAGAUACCCUAGUAGUCCACGCCGUAAACGAUGAGGGCCAAGUGUUGGGGAAGACCCAGUGCUGCAGUUAACGCAGUGAGUCCUCCGCCUGGGGAGUAUGCACGCAAGUGUGAAACUCAAAGGAAUUGACGGGGGCCCGCACAAGCGGUGGAGUAUGUGGUUUAAUUUGAAGCAACGCGAAGAACCUUACCAGGCCUUGACAUAGGGUGCGAAGCUAUGGAGACAUAGUGGAGGUAAACAUCCAUACAGGUGGUGCAUGGUUGUCGUCAGCUCGUGUCGUGAGAUGUUCAGUUAAGUCUGGCAACGAGCGCAACCCUCGUGAUGUGUUACCAAUAUCGAGUUAGGGACUCACAUCAGACUGCCGGUGAGAAACCGGAGGAAGGCGGGGAGGACGUCAAAUCAUCAUGCCCCUUAUGGCGUGGGGUACACACGUACUACAAUGGCGGCGACAGAGGGCAGCGAGCCUGCGAAGGCAAGCGAAUCCCAAAAAAGCCGUCCCAGUUCGGAUUGGAGUCUGCAACCCGACUCCAUGAAGUUGGAAUCGCUAGUAAUCGCGGAUCAGCAUGCCGCGGUGAAUACGUUCUCGGGCCUUGCACUCACCGCCCGU
This 1315-nucleotide ribosomal RNA is filed under the name uncultured bacterium. Its description in RNAcentral is "bacterial SSU rRNA". It matches the Rfam family "Bacterial small subunit ribosomal RNA", at positions 76 to 1397 of the family's 1533-position model. The record is from RNAcentral.